UGACGGUAACUUACCAGAAAGGGACGGCUAACUACGUGCCAGCAGCCGCGGUAAUACGGAGGGUGCGAGCGUUAAUCGGAAUUACUGGGCGUAAAGCGCACGUAGGCUGUAUUGUAAGUCAGGGGUGAAAUCCCACGGCUCAACCGUGGAACUGCCCUUGAUACUGCAAGACUAGAAUUCGGGAGAGGGUGGCGGAAUUCCAGGUGUAGGAGUGAAAUCCGUAGAUAUCUGGAGGAACAUCAGUGGCGAAGGCGGCCACCUGGAUCGAUAUUGACGCUGAGGUGCGAAAGCGUGGGGAGCAAACAGGAUUAGAUACCCUG
RNAcentral lists this ribosomal RNA (320 nucleotides) under uncultured bacterium. Its description in RNAcentral is "bacterial SSU rRNA". It matches the Rfam family "Bacterial small subunit ribosomal RNA", at positions 470 to 789 of the family's 1533-position model. The record is from RNAcentral.